Molecule: ribosomal RNA, 253 nt
Filed under: uncultured bacterium
Lineage: Bacteria
Description: partial 16S ribosomal RNA
Rfam family: Bacterial small subunit ribosomal RNA
Source: RNAcentral
UACGAAGGGGGCUAGCGUUGCUCGGAAUUACUGGGCGUAGAGCGCACGUAGGCGGCUCUUUAAGUCGGGGGUGAAAUCCUGGAGCUCAACUCCAGAACUGCCUUCGAUACUGGAGAGCUUGAGUCCAGGAGAGGUGAGUGGAACUGCGAGUGUAGAGGUGAAAUUCGUAGAUAUUCGCAAGAACACCAGUGGCGAAGGCGGCUCACUGGCCCGGUACUGACGCUGAGGUGCGAAAGCGUGGGGAGCAAACAGG